GCAAGUCGAACGGUGAAGCCUUUCGGGGUGGAUCAGUGGCGAACGGGUGAGUAACACGUGGGCAAUCUGCCCUGCACUCUGGGACAAGCCCUGGAAACGGGGUCUAAUACCGGAUAUGACCUGGGGGCGCAUGCUUCUGGGUGGAAAGCUCCGGCGGUGCAGGAUGAGCCCGCGGCCUAUCAGCUUGUUGGUGGGGUGAUGGCCUACCAAGGCGACGACGGGUAGCCGGCCUGAGAGGGCGACCGGCCACACUGGGACUGAGACACGGCCCAGACUCCUACGGGAGGCAGCAGUGGGGAAUAUUGCACAAUGGGCGCAAGCCUGAUGCAGCGACGCCGCGUGAGGGAUGACGGCCUUCGGGUUGUAAACCUCUUUCAGCAGGGAAGAAGCGUAAGUGACGGUACCUGCAGAAGAAGCACCGGCUAACUACGUGCCAGCAGCCGCGGUAAUACGUAGGGUGCGAGCGUUGUCCGGAAUUAUUGGGCGUAAAGAGCUCGUAGGCGGCUUGUCGCGUCGGAUGUGAAAGCCCGGGGCUUAACUCCGGGUCUGCAUUCGAUACGGGCAGGCUAGAGUUCGGUAGGGGAGAUCGGAAUUCCUGGUGUAGCGGUGAAAUGCGCAGAUAUCAGGAGGAACACCGGUGGCGAAGGCGGAUCUUCUGGGCCGAUACUGACGCUGAGGAGCGAAAGCGUGGGGAGCG
This 697-nucleotide ribosomal RNA is filed under the name Streptomyces sp. Its description in RNAcentral is "bacterial SSU rRNA". It matches the Rfam family "Bacterial small subunit ribosomal RNA", at positions 57 to 770 of the family's 1533-position model. The record is from RNAcentral. Lineage: Bacteria; Bacillati; Actinomycetota; Actinomycetes; Kitasatosporales; Streptomycetaceae.